CCUACGGGUGGCAGCAGUGGGGAAUAUUGGGCAAUGGGGGAAACCCUGACCCAGCAACGCCGCGUGAAGGAAGAAGGCUUUCGGGUUGUAAACUUCUUUUACCAGGGACGAAGAAAGUGACGGUACCUGGAGAAAAAGCUUCGGCGAACUACGGGCCUGCAGCCGCGGUAAUACGGAGGGAGCGAGCGUUGUCCGGAUUUACUGGGUGUAAAGGGCGUGUAGGCGGAGCUGCAAGUCAGAAGGGAAAUCUCCGGGCACAACCCGGAGACUGCCGUUGAAACGGGAGGCGUUGAGUAUUGGAGAGGCAGGCGGAAUGCCGAGUGUAGCGGUGAAAUGCGUAGAUAUUAGGAGGAACUCCAGUGGCGAAGGCGGCCUGCUGGACGACAACUGACGCUGAGGCGCGAAAGCGUGGGGAGCAAACAGGAUUAGAUACCCGAGUAGUC
This 443-nucleotide ribosomal RNA is filed under the name uncultured bacterium. RNAcentral describes it as "partial 16S ribosomal RNA". It matches the Rfam family "Bacterial small subunit ribosomal RNA", at positions 338 to 795 of the family's 1533-position model. The record is from RNAcentral.